This 72-nucleotide transfer RNA is filed under the name Urocitellus parryii (Arctic ground squirrel). RNAcentral's name for it is "Spermophilus parryii (Arctic ground squirrel) tRNA". It matches the Rfam family "tRNA". From Rfam's summary of the family: Transfer RNA (tRNA) molecules are approximately 80 nucleotides in length. Their secondary structure includes four short double-helical elements and three loops (D, anti-codon, and T loops). RNAcentral also lists the same sequence under 1 other name. The record is from Rfam by way of RNAcentral. Lineage: Eukaryota; Metazoa; Chordata; Mammalia; Rodentia; Sciuridae.
UGGGUUGUAGCUCAGUGGUAGAGUGCUUGCCUCUCAUGUGUGGUGCCCUGGGUUCAAUCCUUAGCACCACAU